AUUGAACGCUGGCGGAAUGCUUUACACAUGCAAGUCGAACGGCAGCACGGGGGCAACCCUGGUGGCGAGUGGCGAACGGGUGAGUAAUACAUCGGAACGUGCCCGGUCGUGGGGGAUAACGUAGCGAAAGUUACGCUAAUACCGCAUACGAUCUGAGGAUGAAAGCGGGGGACCUUCGGGCCUCGCGCGAUCGGAGCGGCCGAUGUCAGAUUAGGAAGUUGGUGGGGUAAAGGCCUACCAAGCCGACGAUCUGUAGCUGGUCUGAGAGGACGACCAGCCACACUGGGACUGAGACACGGCCCAGACUCCUACGGGAGGCAGCAGUGGGGAAUUUUGGACAAUGGGCGCAAGCCUGAUCCAGCCAUUCCGCGUGCAGGACGAAGGCCUUCGGGUUGUAAACUGCUUCUGUAUGGAACGAAAAGGCUCUGGCUAAUACCUGGGGCUCAUGACGGUACCGUAAGAAUAAGCACCGGCUAACUACGUG
This 484-nucleotide ribosomal RNA is filed under the name uncultured bacterium. Its description in RNAcentral is "partial 16S ribosomal RNA". It matches the Rfam family "Bacterial small subunit ribosomal RNA", at positions 30 to 507 of the family's 1533-position model. The record is from RNAcentral.